UACAAAACAAUCGUUGCGUUACGGCGUAAGCGUAACCAGGCGUAACCUCCAAGUGCGAGUCGACUGGAUUUGUAAAGAAAUUGCUCCAUAUAUAUAAGAACGGGAAACCCAGGAACCGAAGGAUCAAGCCCAAGAUUUUCCCUCCGCUGUGCUGACUCAUGGCGCCAUUGUUGCUCAAUGCUCAUCACAAAAAGUGACUCGUACUCUUGCCAAUGUCAGGCUGACUUUUCAGCAAAGAGCGGCAGAGAAGAGGAAUCCAAUAUCAGCUGUGAUGUACUAGACUUAUCUGAUGCUGUGAUUUUGGCAAGGAAAAACUUGUUGAGUGAGGGUUGUAGUUUGGAGGAUAGCGAGUUUGGUCGCUUGGUUAAUGAGGAUGAUGCUCUUAGGACCUCGUCUUUUGGUUUCAAUCCAAAUCAAACUCAACAAGACAAGAUUGCAGAGGAAUAUUUUCAAAAUUGCCGACUGUCUUUCUAAAGGUUCGAAAUGGAAGAUGUAUUCAUUCACCCAAGCAACGAGUCAAAAUACUCUAAUGUCAAUUGACCCAUUCCAAUCCCAGCAACGUCAAACUGCAGAAGGAAAGGCAAAUUUGGAUUUCCUUCGCACUCGAAGGUCACAGAGA
Long non-coding RNA from Daphnia pulicaria, 619 nucleotides. RefSeq lists it as uncharacterized. The transcript has 6 exons. The record is from RefSeq and is a predicted model, not a curated record. Lineage: Eukaryota; Metazoa; Arthropoda; Branchiopoda; Diplostraca; Daphniidae.